GGGAGAGUUUGAUCCUGGCUCAGGAUGAACGCUAGCGGUGUGCUUAAAGCAUGCAAGUCGAACGUGAUCCUUGGAUUCGUUCAAGGUGUAAGUGGCGAACGGGUGAGUAACGCGUUGGUGAUCUGCCCCGGAGUGGGGGAUAACUAUCGGAAACGAUAGCUAAUACCCCAGAUGUUAUCGUAUUUGGAAAGCGAUGACUAAAGUUCAGGCGCUCCGGGAGGAGCCUGCGUCCCAUCAGCUAGUUGGUAGGGUAAUGGCCUACCAAGGCAAAGACGGGUAGGGGGCGUGAGAGCGUGGCCCCCCACACUGGUACUGACACGGGGACCAGAUGCCUACGGGUAGCAGCAGCUAGGAAUAUUGGGCAAUGGGCGAAAGCCUGACCCAGCAACACCGCGUGAAGGACGAAGGCCUUCGGGUUGUAAACUUCUUUUCGAGGGAAAGAGAAAGGACGGUACCCUCGGAAUAAGGCCCGGCUAACUACGUGCCAGCAGCCGCGGUAA
Molecule: ribosomal RNA, 500 nt
Filed under: uncultured bacterium
Lineage: Bacteria
Description: bacterial SSU rRNA
Rfam family: Bacterial small subunit ribosomal RNA
Source: RNAcentral